GCUAGGCGGAGCCCUACCACACUGCUGAAAGCUAAGAAGCCCUACACCAGGCCACACACAGCAAUGUCCAGAUCAGCCUGUGUAGUGUGAGACAUAACACCCAUGGAUCAGUGGGCACCCUGUGCCAUUAUUAUGUUCUGAUGUUUUACCCUGUAACCCACAUUGCAUUGUGUCUAACCCCCUAUCCUCCCUUUGCACAUAGCCAGGAGACAUUAGGGUGUACUCGGCAGGAUCUUAGUCUUUUCUCAGUUUAACUUUUUCGCUACUGGUUGUCCCUAUCUCCUGCAUUACAGAGUGUUUAUUUUGCAAUGACUAUGCAUUUGAUGCUACAUAUAAGCUGUCCUCUCGAAAGGCAAUACCCUCUCGUGCUGUCCAGGGCAGCACACUAAUCCUACACAUUAA
This is a non-coding RNA of Pelobates cultripes (western spadefoot toad), 402 nucleotides long. The record is from the annotation of a GenBank genome assembly. Lineage: Eukaryota; Metazoa; Chordata; Amphibia; Anura; Pelobatidae.